UUUCUAAGUGCGUGGCUGCGUCCCCCAGUUGGUUUUGUGGUUACCUCGUGCAGGUCGAGCGCGCCCCUGCGGCGCGCGCGUCACGCAUCAGACCUCUAAUCGGGAAAGAUCACCCGCUGAGUUUAA
This 126-nucleotide ribosomal RNA is filed under the name Homalia pennatula. RNAcentral describes it as "partial 26S ribosomal RNA". Lineage: Eukaryota; Viridiplantae; Streptophyta; Bryopsida; Hypnales; Neckeraceae. The record is from RNAcentral.